Long non-coding RNA from Frankliniella occidentalis (western flower thrips), 531 nucleotides. RefSeq lists it as uncharacterized. The record is from RefSeq and is a predicted model, not a curated record. NCBI's taxonomy places the organism in Eukaryota, Metazoa, Arthropoda, Insecta, Thysanoptera, Thripidae. The transcript has 2 exons.
AAUAUUCACCCCACAGCUCGGCUGUAGUAGCCCGAUACGGGAACUGCGCGGACGUAAUUCUCCUGUCACCCGACAGAUGGCUCUGUCCGCGUCCGCAUAGGAGCGCCAGUUCAAAUUGUCAGCUGUUGUAAAUGUGUGUGGUGUGUAUCUAAAAUCAUAACGGUCAACCGCCAAACGGCUCAACGAAAACGAAACGGCAACGGCAAGCGCAAGCUGUUGAGUGUUGAUCGUUAACAGUGAUUUGAAGGUAAGUGGUGAAUUAUUCAUUCAAUCAUUUUGACGUCGGCCCCAUGGGGGGGUUGAUCGAAAGGAUGAGAUUCGCAAGAAACCAAAGGCCGUUAAAAUCGAAAAGAAAAACAAAGCAAUAGGAUUCAAGAAAGCCCCCCAAAAGCCUCCAAAACAAGCCUUGCGAUAUUUUAUUGAUGUAAGUGGAUUAAGGGAUUAUUUUGAAGGAUGAAAACAAACAAUUGGUUUAGAGACUAGAUGGUUUAUUAUGAAAACUUAAAAGUUGAAUACAAGAAAUAGAGUUAA